Unclassified non-coding RNA from Pongo abelii (Sumatran orangutan), 159 nucleotides. It matches the Rfam family "Metazoan signal recognition particle RNA". Rfam says of the family: The signal recognition particle (SRP) is a universally conserved ribonucleoprotein. It is involved in the co-translational targeting of proteins to membranes. Lineage: Eukaryota; Metazoa; Chordata; Mammalia; Primates; Hominidae. The record is from Ensembl.
GCUGGGUAUGGUACUGUACACCUGUAGUCCCAGCUACUCGGGAGGCUGAGGUGGGAGGAUCACUUGAGCCCAGGAGGUUGAGGCUGCAGUGAGCUACGAUCAUACCUGUGAAUGGCCAAUGCACUCUCUCCUGGGCAAUGUAGUGAGAUCUCAUCUCAU